GAUGAAGAACGCAGCGAAAUGCGAUAAGUAAUGCGAAUUGCAGAAUUCAGUGAAUCAUCGAGUCUUUGAACGCACAUUGCGCCCCCUGGUAUUCCGGGGGGCAUGCCUGUCCGAGCGUCAUUGCUGCCCUCAAGCACGGCUUGUGUGUUGGGCCCCGUCCCCUCCCCCGGGGACGGGCCCGAAAGGCAGCGGCGGCACCGCGUCCGAUCCUCGAGCGUAUGGGGCUUUGUCACCCGCUCUGUAGGCCCGGCCGGCGCCAGCCGACACCCAACUUUUAUUUCUAAGGUUGACCUCGGAUCAGGUAGGGAUACCCGCUGAACUUAAGCAUAUCAAUAAGCGGAGGA
Molecule: unclassified non-coding RNA, 344 nt
Filed under: soil metagenome
Description: partial contains 5.8S ribosomal RNA, internal transcribed spacer 2, and large subunit ribosomal RNA
Rfam family: 5.8S ribosomal RNA (bases 1-120)
Source: RNAcentral